ACAGCCCAGCCUAACAGGAGCUCAAUGACGGCAUCAUAAGAUAAUUACCCUUUAAGUGCUGACUGCACAUCCCUACAGCAUCAGCCUUGGGAUAAUGGUGAAGAAGUGUUAGAGGAAUACAUAAUUUCAAUGAUGAGCUGCAGCAAUAUGCCUGCAGUAAAAAAUACAAUGAAGCUGGACCUCAGAAAAAAAUGAGAUUGUAUUCUAGGUGAUCCUUCUGCAGCUGUAUGUAUAUAUAGCAGACAAGAGUAAGAUUCACCAGCAUGAAGACAAGCAACAGAGGCACUUU
RNAcentral lists this long non-coding RNA (289 nucleotides) under Anolis carolinensis (green anole). RNAcentral's name for it is "lncRNA (ENSACAG00000042641.1)". The record is from RNAcentral. Lineage: Eukaryota; Metazoa; Chordata; Lepidosauria; Squamata; Anolidae.